GUGGGGAAUAUUGCGCAAUGGGGGAAACCCUGACGCAGCAACGCCGCGUGGAGGAAGAAGGUCUUCGGAUUGUAAACUCCUGUCUUCUGGGACGAUAAUGACGGUACCAGAGGAGGAAGCCACGGCUAACUACGUGCCAGCAGCCGCGGUAAUACGUAGGUGGCGAGCGUUGUCCGGAAUUACUGGGCGUAAAGAGCGCGUAGGCGGCUCUUUAAGUUAGAUGUGAAAACCCAGGGCUUAACUUUGGGAGUGCAUUUAAAACUGAAGGGCUUGAGUGCAGGAGAGGUAAGUGGAAUUCCUAGUGUAGCGGUGAAAUGCGUAGAUAUUAGGAGGAACACCAGUGGCGAAGGCGACUUACUGGACUGUAACUGACGCUGAGGCGCGAAAGCGUGGGGAGCAAACAGG
Molecule: ribosomal RNA, 405 nt
Filed under: bacterium
Lineage: Bacteria
Description: bacterial SSU rRNA
Rfam family: Bacterial small subunit ribosomal RNA
Source: RNAcentral